UCCCGGGUAGCUCAGUUGGUAGAGCAGGUGACUGUUAAUCACCCUGUCGGGGGUUCGAGUCCCUCCCCGGGAGCCA
RNAcentral lists this transfer RNA (76 nucleotides) under Deltaproteobacteria bacterium. Its description in RNAcentral is "tRNA-Asn". It matches the Rfam family "tRNA". From Rfam's summary of the family: Transfer RNA (tRNA) molecules are approximately 80 nucleotides in length. Their secondary structure includes four short double-helical elements and three loops (D, anti-codon, and T loops). Further hydrogen bonds mediate the characteristic L-shaped molecular structure. tRNAs have two regions of fundamental functional importance: the anti-codon, which is responsible for specific mRNA codon recognition, and the 3' end, to which the tRNAs corresponding amino acid is attached (by aminoacyl-tRNA synthetases). tRNAs cope with the degeneracy of the genetic code in two manners: having more than one tRNA (with a specific anti-codon) for a particular amino acid; and 'wobble' base-pairing, i.e. permitting non-standard base-pairing at the 3rd anti-codon position. The record is from RNAcentral. RNAcentral also lists the same sequence under 1 other name. Lineage: Bacteria; Pseudomonadati; Myxococcota; Myxococcia.